Molecule: long non-coding RNA, 1896 nt
Organism: Herpailurus yagouaroundi (jaguarundi)
Lineage: Eukaryota; Metazoa; Chordata; Mammalia; Carnivora; Felidae
Exons: 2
Source: RefSeq, a predicted model, not a curated record
CACAGAGAUGUUGAGUAAUUGGCACAAUAUCAUAGGGCAAGAGGCAGAGCAAGUGAAAACUCGACUACAAGUUUGCCACUGGCUAGGUCCAGGCCAAGGAACCUCCAUGAAGGAUUGCAGGAGAGCUGUCUUGGAGUAUCUGGCUUCAACUUGGAUUCUAGGCAAGUUCUCUACAUGAAUAUGAAUCAAUGGAUCCUCCCAUAUCUGGCCAUCUACAUGGUACAAGAGGUCAGAACAGUGACUUUCACGUUUAUGGAAGAAAACAGUACCAUUCUGACUGCCCUUGUGAAGCCAGACAGCCCCUGACCCUUCUAUUUCCUAUUAGCAAGAGGGGAGCAAAGCAUAUGAUAGUGACUCCAGCAUGCUUGCCUCUGAACUCUACAAUGGGCUUGUCCAUCUUAGACGUGGCCAAGCAAUGUCUGUGUCCUCAGCCAGCAGGUCACUCUUCCCUGCUCUUCUGGAGGAAUCAGAGAUUAGGGGGCAGAGAAGCAAGUCGAUGGGGUGGAAACUCCCACCAUUGUCCUCUGGUGCAAAGAUCCUGAAGUCUAGACUCUAAGUGGGCAGUGUAUACUCAAGACCAAGAAGAGAAGUCAGAACUUGGUCAUAAAGUGGUUAUCAUCAGAUUCCUAAAAAGCCAUGAUUGAACAGAGACACGUCUGGUUGAGUGUGGGUCAGAGGUAGAACCCUGGCCAACGAACAUGGAGGAGCAGACUUGGUUUCUAGUCGUCAGACCAGUCCAGCAAUGGCAUGAGUUGUCUUGUGAGAAUCCCUCCAGAUCUUCCUAUUUACCCAUGUAUCUGACAUCAGGCGUUUAUAGCCACCAUUCAAGCGACCGCAGUGAGAGAGAAACAGGCAUCAGGCCACCUUACAGCCUGCUGCUUUAAUUAACAAGGCUCGUUCCUGCCCAGGUGUGUGGGCUACCAUAUAUGCAGCCAGCGGCUUGGACAAGGCUAAAAUCAAAACGAAUGUGUACGCUGUGUUUGGACAGAUGAGACCCCCACCUGCCACGCUGUGGAGUGACGCCUUUCAGGUUUGGAGGGAGCCGUUCCCCGCCAUAAAGCUGGAAGGCAGCAGUGAGCCCAUCAUCCACUUUUGGCAGGUUUGAGGAGUCCAGAUGUCCAUCAUGAAAUGGGUUAUUUAAUGUAUCUGUGGGCUGUUUGCAGAAUGGGAAUGCCUCCGUUUUUUGCAAACACCGAGUGUGCAAAUGCCAAAUGUGUUUGCCAUCAGCAUCAACUUGUGCAAGGGUACCAAAUGUGCAUAAAGGACUCUUUGUAUUCCAUCCGAUGCAAAUCAAACAUUUUGCAUUUCAAUUGAUGUCUACUUAAUUCUAUUUCUUACCCAGAAGCGGCUCCGUUAGGUCACCCUGCUAAACUCUGGUGUCCCUAUGGACUUCUCCCUAUGGGGCAGUUAUCAAACUUGACCGUCUCUGGAGCACUUGGAUGUGGCACGGUGCUGACCCUACUCACCUCCAUCCCAUCCCAUCCAAGCCUGCUUAGCUGAAAGGGACUGGAAGAAUAACCCUGGUUUAGAGGAGAUGCCUCCAAGAUAAGAUUCGGAGAAAAAUAAUUCUUUUUGCACACAAACCAAAGUAGGGGCAUUGUCAGACUCUCAACAUCAAAUGCAUUACUUAAUCCCAUUCCCUUAAAUCCGUACCUUUUAGCUGUGUGUGUGUGAAUGGGUGUGCAAGACUUAUACCUUUGAGACUGUGUUUAUAGAAGCUGAUUCACUUCCUAAGAGGGGAAAUGUAUAUAUGUACAUGUAUUCGGAAUACUGUGAGCAUUUUUAGGGCGGACUCAUGGACCUUCUAAAUGUCUAUGGAUUAAGAAACUGCUCCCUUUUCUAUGUAUGGUUCAAACCACAUCAAAAGUUUAUUAAGAUUGCUGAUAACCAUCUGAA